This 476-nucleotide ribosomal RNA is filed under the name uncultured bacterium. RNAcentral describes it as "partial 16S ribosomal RNA". It matches the Rfam family "Bacterial small subunit ribosomal RNA", at positions 28 to 523 of the family's 1533-position model. The record is from RNAcentral.
GAUGAACGCUGGCGGCGUGCUUAACACAUGCAAGUCGAGCGAGUGAGUUCUUCGGAACGAUCUAGCGGCGGACGGGUGAGUAACACGUGGGCAACCUGCCUCAUAGAGGGGAAUAGCCUCCCGAAAGGGAGAUUAAUACCGCAUAAAAUUAUCGAGUGGCAUCACAUGAUAAUCAAAGGAGUAAUCCGCUAUGAGAGGGGCCCGCGGCGCAUUAGCUAGUUGGUGAGGUAACGGCUCACCAAGGCGACGAUGCGUAGCCGACCUGAGAGGGUGAUCGGCCACAUUGCGACUGGUAAACGGCCCAGACUCCUACGGGAGGCAGCAGUGGGGAAUAUUGCACAAUGGGGGAAACCCUGAUGCAGCAACGCCGCGUGAGUGAUGAAGGUCUUCGGAUUGUACAGCUCUGUCUUUGGGGACGAUAAUGACGGUACCCAAGGAGGAAGCCACGGCUAACUACGUGCCAGCCGCCGCCGUAA